UCGGUAGCUCAGUCGGUAGAGCAACGGAUUGAAGCUCCGUGUGUCGGCGGUUCGAUUCCGUCCCGCGCC
Molecule: transfer RNA, 69 nt
Filed under: Secundilactobacillus yichangensis
Lineage: Bacteria; Bacillati; Bacillota; Bacilli; Lactobacillales; Lactobacillaceae
Also listed under: 1 other name
Rfam family: tRNA
About the family: Transfer RNA (tRNA) molecules are approximately 80 nucleotides in length. Their secondary structure includes four short double-helical elements and three loops (D, anti-codon, and T loops).
Source: RNAcentral